AUGUCUCAGAAUUGUCCCAAAAAUGUCCCAAAAUAUCCCAAAAGUGUCCCAAAAUUGUCCCAAAAUGUCAUCCAAAGUAUCCCAAAAUAUCCCAGAAUUGUCCCAAAAAUAUCCAAAAAUAUCCCACAAUUGUCCCAAAAUAUCCAAAAACGUUGUCCCAAAAAGUCAUCUCAAAAUAUCUCAAAAUAUCCCAAAAAGUCUCAAAAUUGUCCCAAAAAUGUCCCCAAAUUGUCCCAAAAUAUUCAAAAAUAUCAUCCUAAAAUGUCAUCCCAAAAUAUCCCAAAAUAUCCAAAAUUGUCCCAAAAUUGUCCCCAAAAUAUCCAAAAAUAUCCCGAAAUAUCCCACAAUUGUCCCAAAAUAUCAUCCCCAAAAAUAUCCCAAAAUAUCAUCCUAAAAAUACCCCAAAAAUACCCCAAAAAUGUCCCAAAAUAUCCAAAAAUGUCGUCCCAAAAGUGUCCCAAAAUUGUCCCAAAAAUGUCCCAGAAUUGUCCCAAAAUAUCAAAAAAUGUCAUCCUAAAAAUAUCCCAAAAAUGCCCCAAAAUUGUCCUAAAAAUAUCCCAAAAAUGUCCCAAAGUUGUCCCAAAAUGUCCGAAAUAUAUCCCAAAAAUGUCCCAAAAAUGCCCCCAAAAAUAUCCGAAAGUUUCCCAAAAAUGUCCCAAAAGUGUCCCCAAAAUGUCCCAAAAUAUCCAAAAAUAUCAUCCAAGAAUAUCAAAAAAUGGCCCAAAAUGUCAUCCCAAAAAUGUCCCAAAAUUGUCCCAAAAAUGUUCCCAAAAAUGUUCCCAAAAUAUCAUCCCAAAAUAUCCCAAAAAUGUCCCAAAUUGUCCCAAAUAUAUCCAAAAAUACCCCAAAAUAUCCUCCCAAAAUGUCCCAAAAUUGUCCCACAGAGAUCCCAAAAAUGUCCCCAAAUUGUCCCAAAAUGUCAUCUCAAAAAUGUCCCAAAAUUGUCCCCAAAAUAUCCCAAAAAUGUCCCCAAAAUUGUCCCAAAACUGUCCCAAAAUGUCAUCCCAAAGUAUCCCAAAAUAUCCAAAAAUGUCAUUCCUAAAAUGUCCCAAAAUUGUCCCAAAAUUGUCCAAAAAGUCCCAAAAAUGUCCCAAAAAUAUCCAAAAAUGUCCCAAAAAUGUCCAAACAAAAUGUCCCAGAACUGUCCCAAAAUAUCCCGAAAGUGUCCCAAAAUGUCAUCCCAAAACAUCCCAAAAUUGUCCCCAAAAUGUCUCAAAAAUGUCCCAAAAUUGUCCCAAAAACAUCCCAAAAUAUCCCAAAAAUAUCCCAAAAUAUCAUCCCAAAAAUAUCAAAAAAUGUCCCCAAAUUGACCCAAAAAUAUCCAAAAAUUGUCCCAAAAUGUCCGAAAUUGUCCCAAAAUAUCCAAAAUUGUUCCCAAAUUGUCCCAAAAUGUCCCAAAAUGUCCCCAAAUCCCCCAGAAAUCCACCCCAGACCCCAGCCCUGGCAGGGGUCACUCAGGGGUCACUCAGGGGUCACUCAGGGUCACUCAGGGGUCACUCGGCCACCUGGACGCCGCCGCAGUUCUCUUUGCUCUCCGAGGUGAUGGCCAGGUACUCGGAGCUGGUGGGGGGGAGGGGAGAAAUUCGGGGUGGGGGAGGGGAUCCCGAAUUCGGGAACCCCCAAAAAACCCAAAAUCCCCAAAAAAAAUCACCCAAAAAAACCCCAAACCCCCCAAAAUUCCACCCAAAAAUGUCCCAAAAUUCCACCCUAAAAAACCCCAAAUUCCACCUGAAAAUUCCCCAAAAUUCCACCCGAAAAUUCCACCCUUAAAAACCCAAAAAUUCGAACCCAAAAUGCCCCAAAAUCCCCCAAAAUUCCACCCCAAAAUGCCCCCAAAUCCCCCAAAAUUCCACCCAAAUUCCCCAAAAUUCCACCCAAAAAUGUCCCAAAAUUCCACCCUAAAAAAUCCCAAAUUCCACCCAAAAUUCCCCAAAAUUCCACCCUAAAUUCCACCCAAAAAUGUCCCAGAAUUCCACCCUAAAAAAACCCAAAUUCCACCCAAAAAUUCCCCAAAAUUCCACCCUAAAAAACCCAAAAAUUCGAACCCAAAAUGCCCCAAAAUCCCCCAAAAUUCCACCCCAAAAUGCCCCAGAAUUCCACCCGAAUAUCCCCAAAAUUCUACCCCAAAAUUCCCCAAAAUUCCACCCUAAAAAACCCAAAAAUUUGAACCCAAAAUGCCCCAAAAUUCCACCCAAAAAACCCCAAAAAUUCCACCCAAAAAUGUCCCAAAAUCCCCCAAAACUCCACCCAAAAAUGUCCCAAAAUUCCACCCUAAAAAAACCCAAAUUCCACCCCAAAAUUCCCCAAAAUUCCACCCUAAAAAACCCAAAAAUUCGAACCCAAAAUGCCCCAAAAUCCCCCAAAAUUACACCAAAAAAUGCCCCAAAAUCCCCCCAAAAUUCCACCCAAAUUCCCCAAAAUUCCACCCAAAAAUGCCCAAAUUCCAUCUGAAAAUUCCCCAAAAUUCCAUCUGAAAAUUCCCCAAAAUUCCACCCUAAAAAACCCAAAAAUUCGAACCCAAAAUGCCCCAAAAUCCCCCAAAAUUCCACCCUAAAAACCCCCAAAUUCCACCCCAAAAUCCCCCAAAAUUCCAUCUGAAAAUUCCCAAAAAUUCCACCCAAAAAAACCCAAAAAUUCCACCCCAAAAUCCCCAAAAUUCCACCCAAAAAACCCCAAAAAUUCCACCCAAAAUGCCCCAAAAUCCCCCUUCCUUUAAGCCCCGCCCCCANNNNNNNNNNNNNNNNNNNNAAAUGCCCCAAGAUCCCCCCAA
This 2770-nucleotide long non-coding RNA is filed under the name Cyanistes caeruleus (blue tit). RNAcentral describes it as "lncRNA (ENSCCEG00000004652.1)". The record is from RNAcentral. Lineage: Eukaryota; Metazoa; Chordata; Aves; Passeriformes; Paridae.